AGCAGUGGGGAAUCUUAGACAAUGGGCGCAAGCCUGAUCUAGCGAUGCCGCGUGAGUGACGAAGGCCUUAGGGUCGUAAAGCUCUUUCGCCAGGGAUGAUAAUGACAGUACCUGGUAAAGAAACCCCGGCUAACUCCGUGCCAGCAGCCGCGGUAAUACGGAGGGGGUUAGCGUUGUUCGGAAUUACUGGGCGUAAAGCGCACGUAGGCGGACCAUCAAGUUGGGGGUGAAAUCCCGGGGCUCAACCCCGGAACUGCCUCCAAAACUGCUGGUCUUGAGUUCGAGAGAGGUGAGUGGAAUUCCGAGUGUAGAGGUGAAAUUCGUAGAUAUUCGGAGGAACCCCAGUGGCGAAGGCGGCUCACUGGCUCGAUACUGACGCUGAGGUGCGAAAGCGUGGGGAGCANACAGGAUUAGAUNCCCUGGUAGUCCACGCCGUAAACGAUGAAUGCCAGACGUCAGGGGGCUUGCCCUUGGUG
RNAcentral lists this ribosomal RNA (476 nucleotides) under uncultured bacterium. RNAcentral describes it as "bacterial SSU rRNA". It matches the Rfam family "Bacterial small subunit ribosomal RNA", at positions 350 to 845 of the family's 1533-position model. The record is from RNAcentral.